This 455-nucleotide ribosomal RNA is filed under the name uncultured bacterium. RNAcentral's name for it is "bacterial SSU rRNA". It matches the Rfam family "Bacterial small subunit ribosomal RNA", at positions 28 to 491 of the family's 1533-position model. The record is from RNAcentral.
GAUGAACGCUGGCGGCGUGCCUAACACAUGCAAGUCGAGCGAGAAGGUUAUGACGGAUUCUUCGGAUGACGGAUUAACUGGAAAGCGGCGGACGGGUGAGUAACGCGUGGGUAACCUGCCCCAUACACAGGGAUAGCCAUUGGAAACGAUGAUUAAUACCUGAUAACACAUUUUGAAUCGCAUGGUUUAAAUGUCAAAGAUUUAUCGGUAUGGGAUGGACCCGCGUCUGAUUAGCUAGUUGGUAAGGUAAUGGCUUACCAAGGCGACGAUCAGUAGCCGACCUGAGAGGGUGAUCGGCCACACUGGAACUGAGACACGGUCCAGACUCUACGGGAGGCAGCAGUGGGGAAUAUUGCACAAUGGGCGCAAGCCUGAUGCAGCAACGCCGCGUGAACGAGAAGGCUUUCGGGUCGUAAAGUUCUUUUAGGGAGAAAUGACGGUACCUAAGGAAUAGC